GACGAACGCUGGCGGCGUGCUUAACACAUGCAAGUCGAACGGAAAGGCCCUGCUUUUGUGGGGUGCUCGAGUGGCGAACGGGUGAGUAACACGUGAGUAACCUGCCCUUGACUUUGGGAUAACUUCAGGAAACUGGGGCUAAUACCGGAUAGGAGCUCCUGCUGCCUGGUGGGGGUUGGAAAGUUUCGGCGGUUGGGGAUGGACUCGCGGCUUAUCAGCUUGUUGGUGGGGUAGUGGCUUACCAAGGCUUUGACGGGUAGCCGGCCUGAGAGGGUGACCGGCCACAUUGGGACUGAGAUACGACCCAGACUCCUACGGGAGGCAGCAGUGGGGAAUAUUGCACAAUGGGCGGAAGCCUGAUGCAGCAACGCCGCGUGCGGGAUGACGGCCUUCGGGUUGUAAACCGCUUUCGCCUGUGACGAAGCGUGAGUGACGGUAAUGGGUAAAGAAGCACCGGCUAACUACGUG
RNAcentral lists this ribosomal RNA (468 nucleotides) under uncultured bacterium. Its description in RNAcentral is "partial 16S ribosomal RNA". It matches the Rfam family "Bacterial small subunit ribosomal RNA", at positions 28 to 507 of the family's 1533-position model. The record is from RNAcentral.